CGGGCCUCUCGCGUCAGGAUAUGCCCAGGUGGGAUUAGCUAGUUGGUGAGGUAAGGGCUCACCAAGGCGACGAUCCCUAGCUGGUCUGAGAGGAUGAUCAGCCACACUGGAACUGAGACACGGUCCAGACUCCUACGGGAGGCAGCAGUGGGGAAUAUUGCACAAUGGGCGCAAGCCUGAUGCAGCCAUGCCGCGUGUGUGAAGAAGGCCUUCGGGUUGUAAAGCACUUUCAGUCGUGAGGAAGGUGGUAGUGUUAAUAGCACUAUCAUUUGACGUUAGCGACAGAAGAAGCACCGGCUAACUCCGUGCCAGCAGCCGCGGUAAUACGGAGGGUGCGAGCGUUAAUCGGAAUUACUGGGCGUAAAGCGCAUGCAGGUGGUUUGUUAAGUCAGAUGUGAAAGCCCGGGGCUCAACCUCGGAACUGCAUUUGAAACUGGCAGACUAGAGUACUGUAGAGGGGGGUAGAAUUUCAGGUGUAGCGGUGAAAUGCGUAGAGAUCUGAAGGAAUACCGGUGGCGAAGGCGGCCCCCUGGACAGAUACUGACACUCAGAUGCGAAAGCGUGGGGAGCAAACAGGAUUAGAUACCCUGGUAGUCCACGCUGUAAACGAUGUCUACUUGGAGGUUGUGGCCUUGAGCCGUGGCUUUCGGAGCUAACGCGUUAAGUAGACCGCCUGGGGAGUACGGUCGCAAGAUUAAAACUCAAAUGAAUUGACGGGGGCCCGCACAAGCGGUGGAGCAUGUGGUUUAAUUCGAUGCAACGCGAAGAACCUUACCUACUCUUGACAUCCAGAGAAUCUAGCGGAGACGCUGGAGUGCCUUCGGGAACUCUGAGACAGGUGCUGCAUGGCUGUCGUCAGCUCGUGUUGUGAAAUGUUGGGUUAAGUCCCGCAACGAGCGCAACCCUUAUCCUUGUUUGCCAGCGAGUAAUGUCGGGAACUCCAGGGAGACUGCCGGUGAUAAACCGGAGGAAGGUGGGGACGACGUCAAGUCAUCAUGGCCCUUACGAGUAGGGCUACACACGUGCUACAAUGGCGCAUACAGAGGGCGGCCAACUUGCGAAAGUGAGCGAAUCCCAAAAAGUGCGUCGUAGUCCGGAUUGGAGUCUGCAACUCGACUCCAUGAAGUCGGAAUCGCUAGUAAUCGUGGAUCAGAAUGCCACGGUGAAUACGUUCCCGGGCCUUGUACACACCGCCCGUCACACCAUGGGAGUGGGCUGCAAAAGAAGUGGGUAGUUUAACCUUCGGGAGGACGCUCACCACUUUGUGGUUCAUGACUGGGGUGAAGUCGUAACAAGGUAGCGCUAGGGGAACCUGGCGCUGGAUCACCUCCUUAUACGAUGAU
RNAcentral lists this ribosomal RNA (1343 nucleotides) under Vibrio vulnificus. RNAcentral describes it as "bacterial SSU rRNA". It matches the Rfam family "Bacterial small subunit ribosomal RNA", at positions 207 to 1533 of the family's 1533-position model. Lineage: Bacteria; Pseudomonadati; Pseudomonadota; Gammaproteobacteria; Vibrionales; Vibrionaceae. The record is from RNAcentral.